AGAGAGAGACAUGCGCGCAUAUCAAUAAGCGGAGGAAAAGAAACUAACUAGGAUUCCCUCAGUAACGGCGAGUGAAGCGGGGAGAGCUCAAAUUUGAAAUCUUCAAGGUUCUACCUUGACGAAUUGUAGUUUAAAGAAGUGUUUUCUGUUGAAGUUUUGGUAAAAGUUCUUUGGAAUAGGACAUCAUAGAGGGUGAGAAUCCCGUAUUUGACCAUUAUUUUCCAGCUGUGUGAUACACUUUCAAAGAGUCGGAUUGUUUGGGAAUGCAGUCCAAAAUGGGUGGUAAAUUUCAUCUAAAGCUAAAUAUUGGCGAGAGACCGAUAGCGAACAAGUACCGUGAGGGAAAGAUGAAAAGAACUUUGAAAAGAGAGUUAAACAGUACGUGAAAUUGUCAAAAGGGAAGCGUUUGACACCAGUGUUGUUUUCUCGAAAAUCAAUUAAAAAAGGCAGGAUUUUGUGUUGUAUUGACUUUAUCAGCUUUCUGCACUCUUUUCUUGUCUUUUUUAAUGCACUUUUCGUUUAACAAGUCAACAUCAACUUCUUUUGUUGUAAAAGGGUCAUUGGAAGGUGGCUUUCUUUUCGGAGAAAGUGUUUAUAGCCUUUGGCCUCUGCAAUCGGAGAGAUUGAGGUCUGCAGCGUAGAUCCUUCGAGGUUAGAUACAUUUGUGCUAGGUUAUAGCCUUUCAUAGACAACUUGUUGACUAUGAUCAGUCAUGUAGCUUACUCGCUUAUGUUAUUUUACCUACGCUUAGGAUGUUGAUGUGAUACUGCGAGCA
RNAcentral lists this ribosomal RNA (775 nucleotides) under uncultured Neocallimastigales. Its description in RNAcentral is "partial large subunit ribosomal RNA". It matches the Rfam family "Eukaryotic large subunit ribosomal RNA", at positions 23 to 628 of the family's 3401-position model. The record is from RNAcentral. Lineage: Eukaryota; Fungi; Neocallimastigomycota; Neocallimastigomycetes; Neocallimastigales.